Molecule: ribosomal RNA, 451 nt
Filed under: uncultured bacterium
Lineage: Bacteria
Description: bacterial SSU rRNA
Rfam family: Bacterial small subunit ribosomal RNA
Source: RNAcentral
GUCGAGGAUCAUUCGCAAUGGGCGAAAGCCUGACGAUGCGACGCUGCGUGGAGGAUGAAGGCCUUCGGGUCGUAAACUCCUGACAUCCGGGAGCAAUGGUCCCGCCGUGAACAACGGCGGGCAGAGAUAGUACCGGAAGAGGAAGCCACGGCUAACUCUGUGCCAGCAGCCGCGGUAAUACAGAGGUGGCGAGCGUUGUUCGGAUUUACUGGGCGUAAAGGGCGCGUAGGCGGUCCUGUGUGUCGGAUGUGAAAGCCCACUGCUCAACGGUGGAACGGCAUUCGAAACUGCGGGGCUAGAGUGCAGGAGAGGAGAGCGGAAUUCUCGGUGUAGCGGUGAAAUGCGUUGAUAUCGAGAGGAACACCGGUGGCGAAGGCGGCUCUCUGGAAUGCUACUGACGCUGAGGCACGAAAGUUGGGGGAGCAAACAGGAUUAGAAACCCCAGUAGUCC